Nicotiana tabacum (common tobacco) is the source of this 486-nucleotide long non-coding RNA. RefSeq lists it as uncharacterized. NCBI's taxonomy places the organism in Eukaryota, Viridiplantae, Streptophyta, Magnoliopsida, Solanales, Solanaceae. The record is from RefSeq and is a predicted model, not a curated record.
AGAAUACGCAUAUUAAUUAACCCCCCACCAACCCCAUCCCCCUAUCUCUCGUAUUUUUUCCAAAACGAAACCCUAUCCUCUCAAUGUGUUUUUUAAUCUGAAAGCAUAUGAAGUCCUUAACAAUCAACUAUUUCAAAUUUUUCUCUCAAAGGCUGAAGACUCACGUGAUGUCUAUUUGAACUGGGUGAAGACUCAGAAACUGAUAAUAACAUGGUUAUCAAUUUGAACAGGGUUUAAAGUGGGAGUAUUGAGAUGUGAGGAUGGCGGCUAUGAUUAGGUUUAAAGAUUGGGUGUAGAGCAAGGAGGAUGAGGGAAUAAAAAAAAUCUCCCUUUAGUUGUUUUGUUCGCGAGAAGAAAGAAAUGUAGGUAACAGAAGUCUUUCUCUGCUGAGAUGUCCCUUUGAAUGCAACUGUAAACACUUGUAUUUUUGGGAUUGUGAACGCGCUUCCUGAAAACGAAAAUAAAUACUGAAAGUUGAUUAAAUUA